CCCAUUCUUCCUACCGCUGGCCCUGGGAGCUGCCAUUCUACUUUCCAACUCUAUGAAUUUGACUAGUCAAGGCACCACAUGGACAUCCUUCCUGAUUGGAGGAAGACCAUUUUUUAAGACAAAAUAAUAUGAGUUGCUGCUCUCUUCUGCGAGGACCUAUACCAGAGUUAACAUGAAAGCUUCACAUGUGAGAUAAAUGCACUCAAAGACUCCUCACAAGUAGCUCUUUGGAGCUUCAGAUGUGAAAUGGAUCAUUCCUCAAGCUGUAAUAGACCCUUUGGUGAAGCUCUUCAAUCAAACCUGAGAAUUCAAGACGUUUUGUAGCAUCCUAAACAGAAGGAUAUUGAAGGGAGCUGAUUCUGCUUUGAUCCUUGUGCUUGUUGUCAAAGCGCUUGGGAUUGAAGAGACUGUUGGCUACAAUUGACUGUGACAAUUAGGAGAUGAUCAGAGCCCUAGAGUGGAGCACUUAAAGGGUUUGCAUUUAAAACACUCUUGGAGCACUAAUUGUAUAAAAUUCUGGUAACUGCACAUUCUCUUUUUAGAGGUGUAAUGAGUGAAUGAAUGAAAAGCCAGGGAUUAUUUGCCAUUCUAAGUGAGAAUUAUCAGAACAUUUCUGCUUGACUGAAAUUGUUUUGGAAGGUGAGCUGGAAUAAGAAUCUUGCAACUAAAAUGAAGUGACUCUGCAUGUGGUUCUUGGAUGCUUCUCUUCAUCAAAGUACUCUGCAGAAAUGUUCUGAGGCUUCCAAGUUGAUUUAAAUUUUAUUUAUGAGAGAGUUUUUAGGUGAAUCAAAUGAAAACAUUUUAAAGUACUCAUAUUUGACUCUUAGCAAGUAAAUAGGAGUCUUUGAAAGCUCAUUUGGAAUUAUUUGAAAUGAGUUUUCCUAUUAUCAUCAUGGUGUUUCUUUUUUCCAAUAUACAAAUUGCCAUGUUGUGGCAAAAUAAAUUUUUGAAAUGCUUUGAAAAGUUUUCAGAAAUGUGUCCAAGGAAACAAUAUGUAAAUUGUUAGAGUUAAUUCACAUGUCAAUUUAUCAAAAUGUUGCUUCUACUGAAAAGUCCUAGAACCUUUAGCACAGCAUUCCAGAACAUUACUGCCUUGUUUAAACGAGCAGCUCUUUCUUUGUCUUUGAUGGUGACACUAGAGUUACCAGGUUUAACAAAUAAAAUUAAUGAAUUCCUGUUAGGUUUGAAUUUCUGAUGAACAAUGAAUACAUUUUUAGUGUAACUAUGUCCCAUCAGUAUUUGCGUUUUAUCUGGCAACCCUAAGGUGGCACUCUAUAUGGACAGACAUUCCAACUGUACAUUGAGUGGACAAUUUAAUUAUUUAUACAUGAUAAAUUGUCAUUUAUAAAUCAUUUUACCUUUCACUGUCAGACUAGGGCAAGGAACUUGCUCUUUUAGAUCGAAACCAAUGGACUUUUUAACUCAUCAAUGCUAAGUUUAAUUUCCCCCCUCAUUUUCCCAGGGCAAGUUGUGACUUGUCAUUUCAAGCAUAUAGUAAUUUCUGCUUGACUAAUAUAAUGGAGACUUCAGAGAAGGUGGCUGAGGAGUCUGGUUUACCCACAUUGAUCAGGCUCUGACUGGAGUGCGUGGUGGUACAGGAACAAAGAACUGAAUGAUGCAAUGGGGCAUAUUAUCUUUCUGAAGCCCUAUCUUUCCUUUUGUGUCAGUAUUGUGACUACGUAUACAUAUAUUACAGACCCUCCCCAGGCGGUCCCUAUCAAGAAUGCUUCUGCCCAGUGUCAUUCAGCCAAUAGACCAAAUUCAGAAGCAAAGGAACGCCUUAUUCUUGGAUGGGAGAAUGACAAGUCUGAGUGGCCCCUUAAGAGCACAGGCUUUCCUUAUCAGGCCUGGGUGGGGCUGCUUUCACUGGGUUCUCAGUGGGGAGGACAGGGAGGGAUGGGCGGAGUUCUCCCAGCUCGGGCUCAGCUGUGCCCAUCAGGCUCAGCUGUGCCCAUCAGGCUCAAGCACCGCUGCACCUGGCCUGCCGCCAUCUUGAACUGAGUCGUGAGCGGUUCCUCCGCACCCUUUCUCAGAGCUGAGGUUUCAGCACAGUCAUUUAGCUCUAGGAACCCUGGUCUGAGCUGCUGGGGCCUCUGUACACGUACACCUAUGAGAAGUAAAACUAGACUGAGGACAAAGGAAAAGGUUAGAUUUUAUUUCAUUACCUUCUGUUUUUAUUUCCUGGUGACACACAUGUGUAUACAUAUAUGUAUAUGACCAAGUUGGAAGUCCUUGUAAUUUUUGAUUCUGGUAGGAUCUCCCUGAAGGGAAAGAUUCUAGAAAGAUUCUAUGUUUUUGCACUUUUAUUUAACUUGGUUUACCAUAAUCUAGUUGCCAUGAAAAGAGCUAAACUGAAACUUACAGAAAACCAGAUAUCUGAUUUCUCUUUGGGGCCAGCAUUCAUUUUUGCUAGUAUCAUUUCUGUCAUAGUGAGUUCAGGCUGCUAUGACAAACUUCCAUAGACUGUGUGAUUUAUAAGCAAGAAUUUGUUUUUCACAGUUCUGGAGGCUAGAAGUCAGAGAUGAGAACACCAGCUUGGUCAGCUUUUGGUGACGGCUCUCAUCCAGGCAUCCAGGUGGCCGUCUGUGUCUUUUCCAGCUAGAAAGUAGAGCUCUGGUCUAUUUAGUCCCUUGUAAAGGCACUAAUCCUGUUCACGAGGAUGCCACUCUCAUCCCAACCACCUCUCAAAGGCUCUACCACCACAUUGGGGGUUUUGGUUUCAACACAUGGAUUUUGGGGGAACAUUUGGUCCAUAACAGUUUCUUACCGUCUUGAUGCAUUUUAUGGUCUGUGAGGACUAUUUAUAGCCGAAAUGUUUAGAAUCCUGUUUUCCAUCCCCUUAGGUGCCUUCUGACUUCAGCCAUAGCAUCAGGUGAAAUCAGAAGCUCCUUACCAGCCCAGACCUCCAGAAUAUUUGUUAAGUCUUCCCAAUUUCUGCCUCAGAGUGUUGUCCAGAAAUGUAGAAGCUUGUUUAAUGCUUCCUCAAGCUCAGCAUAGAAAGGUGGGGGAAGUUAACACCCUCAAGGGCAGUUCUCAAUCCAUGAGAGACAGACAUCUCUGGAAAAUAUUCCAGCUACCUAUCUUUUAGGCAGCCAGUUCUGAAAGGCACCCAGCAUGCUUCCCAGAGGUUCCAUCUUCAAGAGAAGGGAUCUUAUGUCUCCCCCUGGUAUAUUAUUUGGCUUUUCCCUCAGCUCUGCUUCAUCUUCUCCAUUUCCUCAUCAUUGCUAGGAAUAACCAGCAUGCAUCCAAUUCCUUGUCUCAAUAUCUACUUUCAGAAAUGCUCUAUCUAAGACACUCCUGAUAUUUCUCUUCUCCCAGAACCACAGUUCUCUCUUUGCUCUAGGUUCAGAAAUUUUGCUUUCUUUGGUUCCAUCAAGGCUUACUUUUCAUACCGUCACACUUGGUUAGCAAGCACACAUGCGCAUUCAAAUCACUGGAACUCUCCUUUACAGUAAAAACCCCUUUUUGUCAAACGCUCACUACAUGUAAGGGCUUAUGCUAAGGGAUCCAUGAGUAUUGUUUCAUUUAGUCCUCAGCAUGUCACCAAGAAUGGAUCAGUAUUUCUAUUUUACAAAUGAAGAAAAUGAGGCUCAAAAAAAAUUAAGGGAUUUCUUUCAAGACCACAAAGAAGCUAGUGAGUGGUAGAAGAAGCCUUGGGUUCUGAACUAUCUGACCCCCAAACCCAUUCUUUUUUCUUUUCAUUGAGAUAUAAUUGACACAUAACAUUCUGUUAGUUUCAGGUUUACAACAUAAUUUCACACUUUUGUACACUGUGAAAUGUUCACAAUCUAAUCACUGUAAAUCACCAUAAAUAAUUACAAAACAUUUUCUUCCUAUGAUAAGAACUUUCAAGAUUUACUUUCUCAGGAACCUUUGAAUAUACUCUACAAUACCUAUAGUCACCGCAGUACACACCACAUCUCCAUGACCUAUUUGUUUCACAGCUGGAAGUCUAUACCUCUGUCUCCUUCACUCAUUUUUCUCACUUCCAACACCCCUCCACCCUGGCAAUCACUACUCUCUUAUAAUCCCAUAUCUGUUUCAUUUGUUUUGUAUUUUAUCUUCCAUAUAAGGGUGAGAUUAUACAGUAUUUGUCUUUCCCUGACUUAUUUCACUAAGCAUAAUACCUUUAAGGUCUAUUCAUGUUGCAGAUGGCAAGAUUUUAUUCUUUUUUUAUGGGAGAUUAGUAUUCCAUUGUGUGUGUGUGUGUGUGUAUGUGUGUACACCCAAAUACUGUUUUUGUUUUCUUUGGAUAAAUACCCAAAGAAGUGGAAUUGUAUCAUAUUGUAAUUCUAUUUUUGAUUUUUUGAGGACGCUCCAUACUGUUUUUCAUAAUGACUGCACCAAUUUACCUUCCCAUAACAGUGCACGAGGGUUCCCUUUUCUCCACAUCCUUGCUAAAACUUGUUAUUCUUUUGUUUUUAAGAAUAGUCAUUCUAAUUAUGUGUGAGGUGAUAUCUCAUUGUGGUUUUACUUUGUAUUUCCUUGAUGGUUAGUGAUGUUAAACAUCUUUUUAUGUUUCUGGUGGCCAUCUGAAUGUUUCCUCUGGAAAAAUUUCAGAUUUUCUGUCCAUUUUUAAAAUGGAUUGUUUAUCUUUAUGCUAUUUGUAUUAUAUGCUAUUUGUAUUAUAUGAGUUCUUUAUAUAUUUUGAUUAGUAACCCCAUCAGGUAUAUGAUUUACAGAUAUCUUCUCUCAUUUCAAUAGACUGCUUUUUUUUUGAUGAUAGUUUUCUUUUUUGUUUGAUAUGUCCUAAUUCUUUAUUUUUGCUUUUGUUGCCUUUGCUUUUGGAGUCAUAAAUAAAAAAAUGCUAAGACCUA
This 4817-nucleotide long non-coding RNA is filed under the name Sus scrofa (pig). Its description in RNAcentral is "lncRNA (ENSSSCG00035063863.1)". The record is from RNAcentral. Lineage: Eukaryota; Metazoa; Chordata; Mammalia; Artiodactyla; Suidae.